Long non-coding RNA from Oncorhynchus nerka (sockeye salmon), 2489 nucleotides. RefSeq lists it as uncharacterized. The record is from RefSeq and is a predicted model, not a curated record. The transcript is spliced from 9 exons. NCBI's taxonomy places the organism in Eukaryota, Metazoa, Chordata, Actinopteri, Salmoniformes, Salmonidae.
GAAAAAGCGUGGCAAAGUAUUGCAGACCGCCUGAAUGCGUAAGUAGUGCACAAUUACACACUCACCGCUCCGCUGAAACAUCACAAUUACAAUUCAAAUAUUUAAUUCACAUCUCCAAAAAUGCAGUUGUACUGUAAUUAUGAAACGGUUAAAUUUUUAAUUGAAAUGCACUGCAGAUAUGAGUGAAAUUGUGUAAAGUAACUCCAUCACACUGUAUAAAGCUAUGAUACAUUUUUUGAUAUUUUUACUGAAAACAAGACAAAAAUACCAAGUAAUUUUUUGCAGUGUGACUCCAUUAAAUGUGUGUGUGUGUGUGUGUGUGUAGAUUAAACAUGAACGGGCCAAAACGGACAUGGCAGCAGGUCAAAAUCAAAUACAAGAACAUUCUGCAGAAUGCAGUGAAAAAGAAUACCCACAGACAAGGCACGGGUGGUGGGUCACCAAAGGCUGACCUUACCCCAGCAGAGGACAUGGCCUUGGAGCUAAAUAAAGGCAGGCCCGUCUUAGAGGGGAUCCCUGGGGGGAAAGAGACGAGCAUAGGUUCCUCCCAAGAUGCCACCAGCUUCAUUCAAGUGCCUGGCAGCACUGUGUUCCUGUUAGAGCCACCAGCACAAGCACCAGACGAUGCUGAUCCAGGUGAAGGCCCCAGUGCAGCAGCAACAGCACAUGAUGGAGACGAUGAUGAGGAGGAGACCAUCUCUCUGGAUUCCAGAAGGCAUGAGGACCCAGAUGCUAUACAGUGGGAAAACCAGCCUGGCAACAUAAGCUCACAAGCUAUCAGAAAGUUGUAUGGCAACCACCUCCGGCGCCAAAUAGAACUGGCAGACAUAGACAUUCAGUACAAGAAGAAAAAGAUGGAAAAUCUUGCACUGGAGUCCGAAAUAAAAAAGAGGACAAUUAGGAAACUGGACCUUGAAAUAAAAAAACUUGAGAGGGAGGUGAGAUAUGCCUUCAAUGUACACUGUAUGCUAACUGUAACACAAAUGUAUUAAUCAUUAUUUUUCUUUCCUCCCCCAGCUCCAAGAAGAUGACACAGCUCAAAAUAAAAAUUAGCAAUCAGUACAACCAAGUCAUCGUUAUAAGGCAUCGCCCUCUUUUGCCCACCCCCCAGCACCAGGUGUGGCCACUAGCCUAUAUGAAGGCCCAAAAUUGUGUGUUCCUUUCUGCUCUGACAAUGGCAUGCCCAUUCGUGCGAGAUGUGGUGGAUGAAGAAGCACUUGUGCUGAGGAGAGCCUUCAGGCGAGAAAGGGUCUUCAGGGACCGGUUGGACCCACUGGCCUUCCCUGAUGACCAUCUAUAUGAAAGAUACAGGUUUUCUGCAGAUGGCAUCAGGUAUCUAUGCAGACUACUGGGUCCCAGGAUUAAGCACCGCACUGCACGGAGCCAUGCACUGAGUGUGGAGCAAAUGGUUUGUGUGGCCUUGCACUUUUUUGCUAGUGGAGCCUUCCUGUACUCAGUGGGGAUGCAGAACAGCUGAACAAGGCCACAAUUUGCCGCACAAUAAGGAGUGUGUGUCUGGCUAUCAAAGCAUUAGCAGAUGUCUUCAUCUCCUUCCCUGGCCACAGAAGACUCUGUGACAUCAAAGAGGAGUUCUAUAGGAUUGCAGAUGGUCUGCAAUGCUGACUGUGUGAUCAGCAAUGUUGUGGCAAAAUGGCCUGGCUCAGUCCAUGACUCCAGAAUCUUUCGGGCCUCUGAAAUCUAUCAGUGCCUAUCACAAGGUGAAUUCUCUGGUGUGUUGCUGGGAGACAGGGGUAUGGCUGCCAGCCUUUUCUCCUGACACCUUUCACAGACCCCCAGGAAGCACAGCAGGCCUACAACCAUGCCCAUGCCAGGACCAGGGCCAGAGUUGAAAUGACCUUUGGCCUCCUGAAGGCACGCUUUCACUGCCUUCACAAAUUAAGGGUCAGCCCUGUUAGGGCAUGUGAUAUUACUGUGGCUUGUGCUGUCCUCCACAAUGUGGCCUGCCUGAGGAAGGAGAGGGCCCCCAGAGUGCCACCAGUCAUGGACUGGGACAAUCCGGCAAUCUUCCCUGAUGACGACAGUGGUCGGCUGCUGAGGGACCAAUAUGUGUUGAAUUAUUUUAGUUAGUAUGUGUGCUUUCAAUUUUGGUUAAAUAUGUCCUGCGGUGGCAGAGGAAUUUGGGUUUUUUUGGGUUCGUUUUUGACGAAUUUGGCCUCUUAUGAUGUUUGUGCGGUAUACUGUGUGUAAUACAAGGCUGCAGGGAGGCUACUGCAUCCAUUCAUUUGUCUGUUCAGUUGAUGUGUAUGGAUUUGUCCUGCAUUUAUUUUAGUGUGCAGACAUGCAGGGUGUGUUAUAUACAGACCUUUGAAUGUGUAUGUAUCAUUUUGUAUAAUAUGCUUGGAUUCUGUGCUUUCCAUCUUGUAGAGUCACUGUGACUUCAGUUUCGAAAGGAGCUGAUGGUUUACCUGCUUUGUUUUGUCCUUAUUCAAUAAAGGAACAUAAUGUUACACAUUGUGUUUUUAUAUUCA